RNAcentral lists this transfer RNA (71 nucleotides) under Marmota monax (woodchuck). It matches the Rfam family "tRNA". Rfam says of the family: Transfer RNA (tRNA) molecules are approximately 80 nucleotides in length. Their secondary structure includes four short double-helical elements and three loops (D, anti-codon, and T loops). Further hydrogen bonds mediate the characteristic L-shaped molecular structure. tRNAs have two regions of fundamental functional importance: the anti-codon, which is responsible for specific mRNA codon recognition, and the 3' end, to which the tRNAs corresponding amino acid is attached (by aminoacyl-tRNA synthetases). tRNAs cope with the degeneracy of the genetic code in two manners: having more than one tRNA (with a specific anti-codon) for a particular amino acid; and 'wobble' base-pairing, i.e. permitting non-standard base-pairing at the 3rd anti-codon position. Lineage: Eukaryota; Metazoa; Chordata; Mammalia; Rodentia; Sciuridae. The record is from Rfam by way of RNAcentral.
GGGGAUAUAGAUCAGUUGGUAGAGUGCUUGCCUCACAUGCAAAGCCCUGGGUUCAAUCCCCGGCAUCACCA